Molecule: long non-coding RNA, 783 nt
Organism: Panthera uncia (snow leopard)
Lineage: Eukaryota; Metazoa; Chordata; Mammalia; Carnivora; Felidae
Exons: 4
Source: RefSeq, a predicted model, not a curated record
AGAGAAAGGUGGCCCUUAACCCAAUAUGACCCAUGCACUUAUAAGAAAAGGGACAAUAUGAAGACAUACACACAGGGAGGACACCAUGGAAGGACAGAGCAGAGAUAUAAAUGAUACAGCUGCAAGCCAAGGAGCACCCACGAUUGCCGGCUACCAUCAGAAACUAGGGUGCACCAGUCUAUGGGAAUAAAGUCAUGGAAAAUACCCUCCAUUUUCCCUUAAUGUGCAAAUAUUCGUGGAAGAGAAAUACAGCAAAGAGAAAAGGCUAUUACAGAAAGAACCAUAAUAGACGUGAGGAGAGUACGCAGGGAGGAUAAACAACGCUGCCCAAAGAUUUGCAAAGACGUGUUCUUGCAGGAAGACUGAAGGUUCGCCAGUGGAACUUUCUCCUCCAUACUUGGGAAGGUGAAGAAGACAAUCCCGUUCUGGAGCCUAGAGCAGUGGUGGAGGCCUUGUCAUCCAUAGAAGACAAGUAUGUCUGGCAACAAGGUGAUCCCACAACAGUGAGAAAUGUGGCGACAAAGCUGCACUUUAUCCUGGCACUGUCAUCCUAUAAAACAGCUGCGGCUAAGAAACCUCCCACCCAUUCUUUGGUGUUCUGGGAAACAGCCUGCCGCAAAGUAACAUCCUUCUCCAAAUGACCUAAUGGUGAGAUGGAAGUAAGCCCCAAGUGGAAAAAUAUGUGGGACUCCAUUCUGAACACACGUUCAGAUGAGUUAGCAUCCUGGAGAAGCGUCAGAAAGAACAAGAGAAAAGUAUAAAGAAGGACAAUUAGGUCAGAAG